AUUAUUAUUUUCUAUUAUUUUAUUAUAUUGAAUCAAAAUGAGUUUUAUUCAGUCAUAUUUCAUAACUCUUACAUUAUUAAUCAUUUCAGUUUUGGUUAUCCAUGCAGCUCCUGAUUACAAAGAAAUACUUUUAAAUGUUCUCUGUCAAGAGCUUCACGAAUUGAGUACAGGAUUAAACAAGGUUACUAGU
Long non-coding RNA from Myzus persicae (green peach aphid), 190 nucleotides. RefSeq lists it as uncharacterized. The record is from RefSeq and is a predicted model, not a curated record. NCBI's taxonomy places the organism in Eukaryota, Metazoa, Arthropoda, Insecta, Hemiptera, Aphididae. The transcript is spliced from 4 exons.